This 490-nucleotide ribosomal RNA is filed under the name uncultured bacterium. RNAcentral's name for it is "partial 16S ribosomal RNA". It matches the Rfam family "Bacterial small subunit ribosomal RNA", at positions 30 to 507 of the family's 1533-position model. The record is from RNAcentral.
AUUGAACGCUGGCGGCAGGCCUAACACAUGCAAGUCGAACGGUAACAGGAAGCAGCUUGCUGCUUUGCUGACGAGUGGCGGACGGGUGAGUAAUGUCUGGGAAACUGCCCGAUGGAGGGGGAUAACUACUGGAAACGGUAGCUAAUACCGCAUAACGUCGCAAGACCAAAGAGGGGGACCUUAGGGCAUCUUGCCAUCGGAUGUGCCCAGAUGGGAUUAGCUAGUAGGUGGGGUAACGGCUCACCUAGGCGACGAUCCCUAGCUGGUCUGAGAGGAUGACCAGCCACACUGGAACUGAGACACGGUCCAGACUCCUACGGGAGGCAGCAGUGGGGAAUAUUGCACAAUGGGCGCAAGCCUGAUGCAGCCAUGCCGCGUGUAUGAAGAAGGCCUUCGGGUUGUAAAGUACUUUCAGCGGGGAGGAAGGGAGUAAAGUUAAUACCUUGGCUCAUUGACGUUACCCGCAGAAGAAGCACCGGCUAACUCCGUG